GGGGUGUACUCAGAGCAAGGGACCUGAAGAAUGGCUCCUCUGUUUAUGACAUGCCCAGAAGGAAUCGGGGGUCAUCGCCAUGAAGGGCACAAAACUUGUGACCUCCCUAUGAACAAAUUCCUCACGUGU
Otolemur garnettii (small-eared galago) is the source of this 129-nucleotide small nucleolar RNA. The record is from Ensembl. Lineage: Eukaryota; Metazoa; Chordata; Mammalia; Primates; Galagidae.